RNAcentral lists this non-coding RNA (30 nucleotides) under Mus musculus (house mouse). The record is from RNAcentral. Lineage: Eukaryota; Metazoa; Chordata; Mammalia; Rodentia; Muridae.
UGGAAAAGUAGUGUAAUUUCCUCUUACAUU